This 515-nucleotide ribosomal RNA is filed under the name uncultured bacterium. RNAcentral describes it as "partial 16S ribosomal RNA". It matches the Rfam family "Bacterial small subunit ribosomal RNA", at positions 28 to 523 of the family's 1533-position model. The record is from RNAcentral.
GAUGAACGCUGGCGGCGUGCCUAAUACAUGCAAGUCGAGCGAAUGGAUUAAGAGCUUGCUCUUAUGAAGUUAGCGGCGGACGGGUGAGUAACACGUGGGUAACCUGCCCAUAAGACUGGGAUAACCCCGGGAAACCGGGGCUAAUACCGGAUAACAUUUUGAACCGCAUGGUUCGAAAUUGAAAGGCGGCUUCGGCUGUCACUUAUGGAUGGACCCGCGUCGCAUUAGCUAGUUGGUGAGGUAACGGCUCACCAAGGCAACGAGGCGUAGCCGACCUGAGAGGGGGAUGGGCCACACUGGGACUGAGACACGGCCCAGACUCCUACGGGAGGCAGCAGUAGGGAAUCUUCCGCAAUGGACGAAAGUCUGACGGAGCAACGCCGCGUGAGUGAUGAAGGCUUUCGGGUCGUAAAACUCUGUUGUUAGGGAAGAACAAGUGCUAGUUGAAUAAGCUGGCACCUUGACGGUACCUAACCAGAAAGCCACGGCUAACUACGUGCCAGCCGCCGCCGUAA